GACGAACGCUGGCGGCGUGCUUAACACAUGCAAGUCGAACGGAAAGGCCCUGCUUUUGUGGGGUGCUCGAGUGGCGAACGGGUGAGUAACACGUGAGUAACCUGCCCUUGACUUUGGGAUAACUUCAGGAAACUGGGGCUAAUACCGGAUAGGAGCUCCUGCUGCAUGGUGGGGGUUGGAAAGUUUCGGCGGUUGGGGAUGGACUCGCGGCUUAUCAGCUUGUUGGUGGGGUAGUUGCUUACCAAGGCUUUGACGGGUAGCCGGCCUGAGAGGGUGACCGGCGACAUGGGGACUGAGAUAGGGAGCAGACUCCUACGGGAGGCAGCAGUGGGGAAUAUUGUACAAUGGGCGGAAGCCUGAUGCAGCAACGCCGCGUGCGGGAUGACGGCCUUCGGGUUGUAAAACGCUUUCGCCUGUGACGAAGCGUGAGUGACGGUAAUGGGUAAAGAAGCACCGGCUAACUACGUG
This 468-nucleotide ribosomal RNA is filed under the name uncultured bacterium. RNAcentral describes it as "partial 16S ribosomal RNA". It matches the Rfam family "Bacterial small subunit ribosomal RNA", at positions 28 to 507 of the family's 1533-position model. The record is from RNAcentral.